This 274-nucleotide ribosomal RNA is filed under the name Bacillus velezensis. RNAcentral's name for it is "partial 16S ribosomal RNA". It matches the Rfam family "Bacterial small subunit ribosomal RNA", at positions 1 to 264 of the family's 1533-position model. Lineage: Bacteria; Bacillati; Bacillota; Bacilli; Caryophanales; Bacillaceae. The record is from RNAcentral.
UUUAUCGGAGAGUUUGAUCCUGGCUCAGGACGAACGCUGGCGGCGUGCCUAAUACAUGCAAGUCGAGCGGACAGAUGGGAGCUUGCUCCCUGAUGUUAGCGGCGGACGGGUGAGUAACACGUGGGUAACCUGCCUGUAAGACUGGGAUAACUCCGGGAAACCGGGGCUAAUACCGGAUGGUUGUCUGAACCGCAUGGUUCAGACAUAAAAGGUGGCUUCGGCUACCACUUACAGAUGGACCCGCGGCGCAUUAGCUAGUUGGUGAGGUAACGGC